UAGAACCGGAUCCGCCCAAGUUCU
Molecule: non-coding RNA, 24 nt
Filed under: Arabidopsis thaliana (thale cress)
Lineage: Eukaryota; Viridiplantae; Streptophyta; Magnoliopsida; Brassicales; Brassicaceae
Source: RNAcentral